AAUAGAUACCCCGGUAGUCCACGCUGUAAACGAUGAUUACUGGUUGUUAGCGAUAUAUGGCUAGUGACUGAGCGAAAGCAUUAAGUAAUCCACCUGGGGAGUACGUCGGCAACGAUGAAACUCAAAGGAAUUGACGGGGGCCCGCACAAGCGGAGGAACAUGUGGUUUAAUUCGAUGAUACGCGAGGAACCUUACCUGGGUUUAAAUGGGGAGUGACAGGUGUCGAAAGAUGCUUUUCCUUCGGGACACUCUUCAAGGUGCUGCAUGGUUGUCGUCAGCUCGUGCCGUGAGGUGUCGGGUUAAGUCCCAUAACGAGCGCAACCCUUGCCGAUAGUUGCCAUCACGUAAAGGUGGGCACUCUAUCGGGACUGCCGGUGUAAACCGUGAGGAAGGUGGGGAUGGCGUCAAAUCAGCACGGCCCUUACAUCCAGGGCUACACACGUGUUACAAUGGCCAGUACAGAGGGCCGCUACCCCGCGAGGGGAUGCCAAUCUCGAAAGCUGGUCUCAGUUCGGAUUGAAGUCUGGAACCCGACUUC
This 538-nucleotide ribosomal RNA is filed under the name uncultured bacterium. RNAcentral describes it as "bacterial SSU rRNA". It matches the Rfam family "Bacterial small subunit ribosomal RNA", at positions 777 to 1319 of the family's 1533-position model. The record is from RNAcentral.